AUUGAACGCUGGCGGCAUGCUUUACACAUGCAAGUCGAACGGCAGCGCGGGCUUCGGCCUGGCGGCGAGUGGCGAACGGGUGAGUAAUACAUCGGAACGUGCCCAGUAGUGGGGGAUAGCUCGGCGAAAACCGGAUUAAUACCGCAUACGACCUGAGGGUGAAAGCGGGGGAUCUUCGGACCUCGCGCUAUUGGAGCGGCCGAGGGCAGAUUAGCUAGUUGGUGGGGUAAAGGCCUACCAAGGCGACGAUCUGUAGCUGGUCUGAGAGGACGACCAGCCACACUGGGACUGAGACACGGCCCAGACUCCUACGGGAGGCAGCAGUGGGGAAUUUUGGACAAUGGGCGAAAGCCUGAUCCAGCAAUGCCGCGUGUGUGAUGAAGGCCUUCGGGUUGUAAAGCACUUUUGGCGGGAACGAAAAGGACUGUGCCAAUACCACGGUUCGAUGACGGUACCCGCAGAAUAAGCACCGGCUAACUACGUG
Molecule: ribosomal RNA, 484 nt
Filed under: uncultured bacterium
Lineage: Bacteria
Description: partial 16S ribosomal RNA
Rfam family: Bacterial small subunit ribosomal RNA
Source: RNAcentral